UGGGGAAUUUUACACAAUGGGCGCAAGCCUGAUGUAGCAACGCCGCGUGGAGGAUGAAGGAUUUAGGUCUGUAAACUCCUUUUAUAAGGGAAGAAAUUUGACGGUACCUUAUGAAUAAGCACCGGCUAACUCCGUGCCAGCAGCCGCGGUAAUACGGGGGGUGCAAGCGUUACUCGGAAUCACUGGGCGUAAAGGGAGCGUAGGCGUUCUAUUAAGUCUUGAGUGAAAGCCUGCAGCCUAACUGCAGAACUGCUUGGGAAACUGAUAGAAUUGAGUAUGGAAGAGGUCAGUGGAAUUUCCGGUGUAGGGGUAAAAUCCGUAGAUAUCGGAAGGAAUACCAGAAGCGAAGGCGACUGACUGGGACAUUACUGACGCUGAGGCUCGAAAGCGUGGGGAGCAAACA
This 403-nucleotide ribosomal RNA is filed under the name uncultured bacterium. Its description in RNAcentral is "bacterial SSU rRNA". It matches the Rfam family "Bacterial small subunit ribosomal RNA", at positions 355 to 774 of the family's 1533-position model. The record is from RNAcentral.